UGAGUGAUGAAGGCCUUCGGGUCGUAAAACUCUGUUGUUAGGGAAGAACAAGUAUCGGAGUAACUGCCGGUACCUUGACGGUACCUAACCAGAAAGCCACGGCUAACUACGUGCCAGCAGCCGCGGUAAUACGUAGGUGGCAAGCGUUGUCCGGAAUUAUUGGGCGUAAAGCGCGCGCAGGCGGUUCUUUAAGUCUGAUGUGAAAGCCCCCGGCUCAACCGGGGAGGGUCAUUGGAAACUGGGGAACUUGAGUGCAGAAGAGGAAAGCGGAAUUCCACGUGUAGCGGUGAAAUGCGUAGAGAUGUGGAGGAACACCAGUGGCGAAGGCGGCUUUCUGGUCUGUAACUGACGCUGAGGCGCGAAAGCGUGGGGAGCAAACAGGAUUAGAUACCCUGGUAGUCCACGCCGUAAACGAUGAGUGCUAAGUGUUAGAGGGUUUCCGCCCUUUAGUGCUGCAGCUAACGCAUUAAGCACUCCGCCUGGGGAGUACGGCCGCAAGGCUGAAACUC
RNAcentral lists this ribosomal RNA (509 nucleotides) under Bacillus sp. enrichment culture clone SN1_Na7. RNAcentral describes it as "bacterial SSU rRNA". It matches the Rfam family "Bacterial small subunit ribosomal RNA", at positions 402 to 902 of the family's 1533-position model. Lineage: Bacteria; Bacillati; Bacillota; Bacilli; Caryophanales; Bacillaceae. The record is from RNAcentral.